GAUGAACGCUGGCGGCGUGCUUAACACAUGCAAGUCGAACGGAAAGGCUCCUGCUUGCAGGGGUACUCGAGUGGCGAACGGGUGAGUAACACGUGGGUGAUCUGCCCUGCACUUCGGGAUAAGCCUGGGAAACUGGGUCUAAUACCGGAUAGGACCACAUUUUGGAUGGUGUGGUGGAAAGUUUUCGGGUUUGGAUGUCGCUUCUGGCUAUCAGCUUGUUGGUUGGGUUAUUGCCUAACAAGGCGUCGAAGGGUAGCCGGCCUGGGAGGGUGUACGGCCACAUUGGGACUGAGAUAGGGCCCAGACUCCUACGGGAGGCAGCAGGGGGGAAUAUUGCACAAUGGGCGCAAGACUGAUGCAGCGACGCCGCGUGGGGGAUGACGGCCUUCGGGUUGUAAACACCUUUCGCUAGGGACGAAGCGCAAGUGACGGUACCUGGAGAAGAAGCACCGGCUAACUACGUG
RNAcentral lists this ribosomal RNA (464 nucleotides) under uncultured bacterium. RNAcentral's name for it is "partial 16S ribosomal RNA". It matches the Rfam family "Bacterial small subunit ribosomal RNA", at positions 28 to 507 of the family's 1533-position model. The record is from RNAcentral.